GUCAACCGCACUAUUUUGGGAGGAAUAUACUCAGCUACUGAGAUAUACAUGCUCACUGAUAGUUCUCCAGAUUUUCAGGAUACAUGGACUUUCUUGGACAACCGUUUGAAAGAUGCUUUCGAUAUAAAGAAAACCGUCCAAGAGGCAAAGUAUCUGGCAGAAGCUGUAGGUGCUGGAAUGGGGAACUCCCUUCAGGGAUUUGUUGGAAAACUUUUCCAAAGAUAGAUAGAUAUUUGACUACAACUUUUAAAGUUUAUAGAGUGAGG
RNAcentral lists this unclassified non-coding RNA (266 nucleotides) under Hevea brasiliensis (rubber tree). Lineage: Eukaryota; Viridiplantae; Streptophyta; Magnoliopsida; Malpighiales; Euphorbiaceae. The record is from RNAcentral.